RNAcentral lists this long non-coding RNA (531 nucleotides) under Olea europaea subsp. europaea. The record is from RNAcentral. Lineage: Eukaryota; Viridiplantae; Streptophyta; Magnoliopsida; Lamiales; Oleaceae.
AUGAACUCAGUAGAGUUAAUAUUAAUCAUGAAAGUUCUUUUUUGUUACACGAAGCCAAUCGAGUUGGUUUAAUGUCUAUUGUGCAAACGAAAACCAAAAUUGAACAUUCACGAAACAAGAAAAUAUAACAAAAUAGAAAUUCUCAUUACUGAAAAGGAAAGCUACAAGACAAGUAGUACUUGUAAACUAUAUCCAUUACAUGGGCAAAGGGCGUAUUAUGCAAAGUAAAAACUAAUAGUUACAAGGCGUCUUAUGCAAAGUAAAAACCAUUACAGGGUAGAAAGGCAUGUUCCAUGAAUUUAGUCAACCUGCAUAACCAUUGUUCCCAGGAAGAAUCCUUGACCCAAAGUAGCCUCUUAAAAUUGACCAGGCAUUUUCGAGAAGGAAAUACAUGAGGGCUUAUCACAACAUCUGGAACUGUCUUACAUGGUGAUUUAUCAUAGAUGGAUAUUUGAGGAAGACGCAAGAGCAUGACAGGCUUGCUAGCUUCCAAACCAUUCUCUGCUAGCCUUUGAAUCAAAUGUAAUGAAA